UAAAAGUUUUAUUUUAGCUUUGGGGUUGGCUAUUUAAUUCUUGUAUAUGUAUUGUUUAGGUUAGAGAAUUAAUUAUUGCAGUAUAGAAAAUUAGUUUUGGGUUGGGGCUUGAACUAGGAAUUUAUUAUAUUACAAACAAAGGUUGUGCCAGCAGUUGCGGUUAUACAAUCUGUAUAAGUCAAUCAGUUUUAAUUUAGUUAAUAUUAAUGGUGUAAAUUGAUUUAUAAACUUUUUAGGUGAAAUUUCAAGUUUAUAUGGAGAUUUAGAUUUAAUUUGUGAGGCUAUUAAAUUUUUAUUUUAAACUAGGAUUAGAUACCCUACUAUUAAAAAUGUAAUUUUAAAUUUAAAGUUAGUAUUAGUUAUGUUCUUGAAAUUUAAAGAAUUUGGCGGUAUUUCAGUCUAUUCAGAGGAACCUGUUUCAUAAAUGAUAGUCCACGAUUGGUUAAACUUUAAUUUUUAGUUUGUAUAUCGUCGUAUUAAGAAUAUUUUUUUAGGAUUUUAAUUUUCUUGAUAUUAGAUUUAAUUGUAGUUCAGAUCAAGGUAUAGUUUAUAUUAAAGUGUAAAUGGGUUACGUUAAGUUUAUUUUUGGAAAUGUUUUUAAAAUGACAUUGUAAAUAGGAUUUGUUAGUAAUUAAUUAUUAAUAUUUUUAAUGAUUUUAGCUCUGAAAUAUGCACAUAUUGCCCGUCGCUUUCAUUUUAGGUGAAAUAAGUCGUAACAAAGUAGGUUUAUUGGAAAAUGAGUCUAGAAAGGU
Molecule: non-coding RNA, 752 nt
Filed under: Mordellidae sp. GENSP01
Lineage: Eukaryota; Metazoa; Arthropoda; Insecta; Coleoptera; Mordellidae
Source: RNAcentral